UACGUAGGGUGCAAGCGUUAAUCGGAAUUACUGGGCGUAAAGCGUGCGCAGGCGGUUGUGCAAGACAGUUGUGAAAUCCCCGGGCUCAACCUGGGAAUUGCAUUUGUGACUGUACGGCUAGAGUGUGUCAGAGGGGGGUAGAAUUCCACGUGUAGCAGUGAAAUGCGUAGAGAUGUGGAGGAAUACCGAUGGCGAAGGCAGCCCCCUGGGAUAACACUGACGCUCAUGCACGAAAGCGUGGGGAGCAAACAGG
Molecule: ribosomal RNA, 253 nt
Filed under: uncultured bacterium
Lineage: Bacteria
Description: partial 16S ribosomal RNA
Rfam family: Bacterial small subunit ribosomal RNA
Source: RNAcentral